This 75-nucleotide transfer RNA is filed under the name Acidobacteriota bacterium. RNAcentral describes it as "Acidobacteria bacterium tRNA-Phe". It matches the Rfam family "tRNA". From Rfam's summary of the family: Transfer RNA (tRNA) molecules are approximately 80 nucleotides in length. Their secondary structure includes four short double-helical elements and three loops (D, anti-codon, and T loops). Lineage: Bacteria; Pseudomonadati; Acidobacteriota. RNAcentral also lists the same sequence under 1 other name. The record is from RNAcentral.
GGGGAGUUAGCUGAGAUGGUGUAGCGCAGCCCUGAAAAGGCUGAGACGCGGAUUCGAGCGCCGCACUCCCCACCA